UUAAGAGUUUGAUCCUGGCUCAGGACGAACGCUGGCGGCGUGCCUAAUCUAUGCAAGUCGAGGGAGUUUAGACUCCCGGCAGACGAGUGAGUAACACGUAGGAACGUACCAUUGGGAGGGGGAUAAUCUACCGAAAGGUGGAAUAAUACCCCGUAAUAUGAGUAGAGAAUUAAGAGUACAAUCUUAUAAUUAUAUAUUUCUUUUGUUUAGAUAUAUAUAAUGUCAAAAUCCAAAUGCUCAAUAUCAAAUGAAUGCCCAAUUUCUAAAUUUUGAGCAUUAUAUUAUAGUGUUUUGAAAUUGAUUUGACAUUUAAAAUUUGAGCUUAGAAAUUUACUAUAAAUUAAGUCUUUGUAAUUUUAAUUCUCUAUUCAUCAAAGGUUUACAGCUUUCGGGUUGUAUUCCGCCCUUUGAUCGGCCUGCGUCCCAUCAGCUUGUUGGUAAGGUAAAGGCUUACCAAGGCUAUGACGGGUAGGGGGCGUGAGAGCGUGUACCCCCACGGUGGCACUGAGAUACGGGCCACACACCUACGGGUGGCAGCAAGUAGGAAUCGUGCGCAAUGGGCGAAAGCCUGACGCCGCGACGCCGCGUGAAGGAAGAAGGCCUUCGGGUUGUAAACUUACAUUAAAAAGUCACGGCUAACUUCGUGCCAGCAGCAGCGGUAAUACGAAGGUGGCAAGCGUUGUCCGAUGUUAUUGGGCGUAAAGAGUUCUGUAGGCGGAAAUAAAAGUUAUAUGUUAAAGGCUUCGGCUCAACCGGAGUUAUGCGUGUAAUACUAUAUUUCUAGAGUAAGAUAGGGGCUAGUGGAACGUACGGUGUAGUAGUGAAAUGCGUUGAUAUCGUACGGAACACCAAAGGCGUAGGCAACUAGCUGGAUCUUUACUGACGCUGAGAGACGAAAGCGUGGGGAGCGAAAGGGAUUAGAUACCCCUGUAGUCCACGCCGUAAACGAUGCCGACUAGGAAGUGGUUUUAAUUUAUUGAUAUCACUUUCGAAGCUAACGCGUUAAGUCGGCCGCCUGGGAAGUACGGUCGCAAGACUAAAACUCAAAGGAAUUGGCGGGGACCCGCACAAGCGGUGGAGCGCCUGGUUUAAUUCGAUGUUAAGCGAAGAACCUUACCUGGGUUUGACAUGCUACUGCAUCCCCCGAGAAAUCGGGGAGUCCUUCGAGGGUGUAGCACAGGUGUUGCACGGCUGUCGUCAGCUCGAGUCGUGAGAUGUUCGGUUAAGUCCGUUAUCGAGCGCAACCCCUACUACUAGUUGUAUCACUCUAGUGGAACUGCCCGGGCAACCGGGAGGAAGGAGGGGAUGACGUCAAGUCAGCGUGGCCCUUAUGUCCAGGGCGACACAGGCGCUACAAUGGUUAGUACAGAGGGUUGCUACCUAGCAAUAGGAUGCUAAUCCCAAAAAGCUAACCUCAGUUCGGAUUGAUGUCUGCAACUCGACAUCAUGAAGUCGGAAUCGCUAGUAAUCGCUGGUCAGCCACACAGCGGUGAAUACGUUCUCGGGUCUUGCACACACCGCCCGUCAAUUGGGGGAAGUUGGAAACACCCGAAGUCUGGGAGUAAUACUCUCGGCCUAAGGUGGAGUCAACAACCAACAAUAAGUCGUAACAAGGUAGCCGUAGGGGAAUCUGCGGCUGGAUCACCUCCUUUCU
RNAcentral lists this ribosomal RNA (1654 nucleotides) under candidate division WWE3 bacterium CG10_big_fil_rev_8_21_14_0_10_32_10. RNAcentral describes it as "bacterial SSU rRNA". It matches the Rfam family "Bacterial small subunit ribosomal RNA". Lineage: Bacteria; candidate division WWE3. The record is from RNAcentral.